AUGUACCACGCGGACAUUGCGGUCCCGGCGCGCCGUCCACAUCCGUCCGCAUUCGCCCGACGACUGCUCGCAACGUUUUAGGGACC
Molecule: small RNA, 86 nt
Filed under: Xanthomonas vasicola
Lineage: Bacteria; Pseudomonadati; Pseudomonadota; Gammaproteobacteria; Lysobacterales; Lysobacteraceae
Also listed under: 2 other names
Description: sX9 sRNA
Rfam family: Xanthomonas sRNA sX9
Source: RNAcentral